Molecule: ribosomal RNA, 927 nt
Filed under: Salmonella enterica
Lineage: Bacteria; Pseudomonadati; Pseudomonadota; Gammaproteobacteria; Enterobacterales; Enterobacteriaceae
Also listed under: 1 other name
Description: bacterial LSU rRNA
Rfam family: Bacterial large subunit ribosomal RNA
Source: RNAcentral
CAUCCUCCAAGGCUAAAUACUCCUGACUGACCGAUAGUGAACCAGUACCGUGAGGGAAAGGCGAAAAGAACCCCGGCGAGGGGAGUGAAAAAGAACCUGAAACCGUGUACGUACAAGCAGUGGGAGCACAGGUUUACCUGUGUGACUGCGUACCUUUUGUAUAAUGGGUCAGCGACUUAUAUUCUGUAGCAAGGUUAACCGAAUAGGGGAGCCGGAGGGAAACCGAGUCUUAAUUGGGCGUUAAGUUGCAGGGUAUAGACCCGAAACCCGGUGAUCUAGCCAUGGGCAGGUUGAAGGUUGGGUAACACUAACUGGAGGACCGAACCGACUAAUGUUGAAAAAUUAGCGGAUGACCUGUGGCUGGGGGUGAAAGGCCAAUCAAACCGGGAGAUAGCUGGUUCUCCCCGAAAGCUAUUUAGGUAGCGCCUCGUGAAUUCAUCUCCGGGGGUAGAGCACUGUUUCGGCUAGGGGGCCAUCCCGGCUUACCAACCCGAUGCAAACUGCGAAUACCGGAGAAUGUUAUCACGGGAGACACACGGCGGGUGCUAACGUCCGUCGUGAAGAGGGAAACAACCCAGACCGCCAGCUAAGGUCCCAAAGUCAUGGUUAAGUGGGAAACGAUGUGGGAAGGCCCAGACAGCCAGGAUGUUGGCUUAGAAGCAGCCAUCAUUUAAAGAAAGCGUAAUAGCUCACUGGUCGAGUCGGCCUGCGCGGAAGAUGUAACGGGGCUAAACCAUGCACCGAAGCUGCGGCAGCGACGCUGAUGCGUUGUUGGGUAGGGGAGCGUUCUGUAAGCCUGUGAAGGUGGCCUGUGAGGGUUGCUGGAGGUAUCAGAAGUGCGAAUGCUGACAUAAGUAACGAUAAAGCGGGUGAAAAGCCCGCUCGCCGGAAGACCAAGGGUUCCUGUCCAACGUUAAUCGGGGCAGG